UAACGAAUCUUCCGCAAUGCACGAAAGUGUGACGGAGCGACGCCGCGUGUGGGACGAAGUUCUUCGGAAUGUAAACCACUGUCAGGGGUUAGAAAGUUCUGAUCAACCCCAGAGGAAGGCACGGCUAACUCUGUGCCAGCAGCCGCGGUAAGACAGAGGUGCCAAGCGUUAGGCGGAAUCACUGGGCUUAAAGCGUGUGUAGGCGGAUGCCUAAGUACCUUGUGAAAUCCCACGGCUCAACCGUGGAACUGCUGGGUAUACUGGGUGUCUUGAGCUGUCUAGGGGCUACCGGAACAAGUGGUGGAGCGGUGAAAUGCGUAGAUAUCACUUGGAACGCCAAUGGUGAAAACAGGUAGCUGGGGACAUGCUGACGCUGAGACACGAAAGCCAGGGGAGCAAACGGGAUUAGAUACCCCCGUAGUCC
Molecule: ribosomal RNA, 424 nt
Filed under: uncultured bacterium
Lineage: Bacteria
Description: bacterial SSU rRNA
Rfam family: Bacterial small subunit ribosomal RNA
Source: RNAcentral